This 1622-nucleotide long non-coding RNA is filed under the name Solanum tuberosum (potato). RNAcentral describes it as "long non-coding RNA (STUB_LNC011118)". Lineage: Eukaryota; Viridiplantae; Streptophyta; Magnoliopsida; Solanales; Solanaceae. The record is from RNAcentral.
UACAUCAAUGGCAACAGAUUUAUUUAUUUAUUUUUGGGAAGUUUCACAAAUAUACCAAUGGAGGGUUGUUGAUUUGGUUGAACAAGAAAUCAUAGGUCAGCCAGAGAGGACAACCACCCUCCAAAAAAAUUUCCCUAUCCCUGUUGGCCUCAUUCUUCAUACUGGGCUAAGCUUCCAUUACUCUGUAAACUGUAAGUCCCUGCAACUUUGUAAACUUCAGCUAUUCUCUAAACAGGGUCCUAAAAUACAGGAAAUUACAACACCCAAUGACAUUGGAAAUGGUCUAAAAGCGGCUAUUUGUGCACUUCAUCCACAUACAAAAGCUAAAAGAAUUGUUGAUUAGAGCAAAGAAAUCAUUGACAUACCAGAGAUGGUCGACCACCCUGUAAAAAUGCCCAUUUUCCUCCGAUUGGCUUGUCCUUUAGAGCUAAAAUGAACAAGGUUUCCAUCAAAUGAAUUUCGGGGUUUGGAUCCUGGAACUCAUUGGAUGUUGAGGCUCAUAUCUGUGUAAAAUGGGGCAAAGAGAAGAUGACAACACCGUGGCUGCAAAAUCAACCAGUUACAUAAUCUGGGUUUGCCCCACCAAGAUACGAGUCGGAUUUUCUCCUUGCCCAGAAUUGGCAAUAUUAUCACUGCCUCCUUCGAAAGAUGGAUUCUUUUCCAUAUCAAUAGUGAACAGGUUCAAGACAAGUGAAUUAGAAGAGAGGGAGUAUUACUACUGCUGCUAUCAACUAAUCAUCAAUAGAAACAUAUACCAACGGAGGAUUGUUGGUUUGGUUGGUCAGAGAAAUCAUAGGUCAAUUAGAGAGGGCAACUACCCUCAAAGAAUUUAGAGAAAACAAUAAAAACAGUACUAGUACUUCUAAGGAGGGUUGUUAAUUUUGUUUAUGGGGAAAUCAUAGGCCAAGCAGAGGCACCCUCAAAGAAUUCCCUUUUUCUCUGUUGGCCUCAUUCUUCAUACUGGGCUGAACCUCCAUUUUUCUAUGCUUUUGCAGCUGCUUUUCCUGUAAAAGCAGUAACAGACUGAGAGACAGAAAGAGACAUCCAAUUAUUAUUAUUUGUAUAUAUGAUAUAAAGGCUGUUGAUUAGAGAUAAGAUAAAAUCACUGGUAUACCGGAGAUGGUCAACCACCCUGAAAAAUCCCUUUUUACUCCGAUAACCUCAUUUUUGAGAUAAAAUUUUGAUGGAGAACUGCAUCUGAAAAAUGGGGUUCAACAAAAGCUGAAAAUCCAACUGCGUAUCUCAGUUCCUGAAACGACCAUCCAUUUAAGAUAAUCACACGCUUGCCAUAGACUAAAGGGCUCAGAUUUUGCUGUAUAAGAACAUGCAAAGAGAAAGCGACAUUGCCAUGGCUGCAGAUACACCGAUUUGCAAAUGGAUGCCUUACCGGGUCGCCCUGCCAAGAUACGAGUCGGAUUUUCUCAACGCAGUCAAGCAGAUUAUAGUCCAGAAAGAAGCAAAUCAUCAUCACAGCCCAUUUUAUCAGAUCAAUCAACAUCAAUAAAACACCUCAUUUACGUUCCGAACUCUUAAAAAAAGCAGCUACCUUGUUGUGUCAUUUCUACCUUGCAGAAGCACAAGCAGAAAAAGCAUAUAUAUAUUUGGAAUCUAUGGCCAAACGC